Long non-coding RNA from Bubalus bubalis (water buffalo), 251 nucleotides. RefSeq lists it as uncharacterized. The transcript is spliced from 3 exons. The record is from RefSeq and is a predicted model, not a curated record. Lineage: Eukaryota; Metazoa; Chordata; Mammalia; Artiodactyla; Bovidae.
AGAUUCUUUAUCACUGAGCCACCAGGGAAGCCCUGUUUCUUUUUCUGAUUCCUUUAGAUGCUGUUUUGUAUCGUAUUACAAGUGUGUUAUCUGCAAACAGCAUAUAAUUGGGCUCAACAUUUUAACCUAGUCUGAUGUGAGCACUCUAAUUGAGCCACUUGGCAGGAAAGAAGGGCGGGCAGAGAAUGCCCUGGCCUAAGUGCGUGCUGUCCUGGAGGUGCGAGCCUGCUGCUGUGGAGCCCUGGCCCCUC